RNAcentral lists this ribosomal RNA (253 nucleotides) under uncultured bacterium. Its description in RNAcentral is "partial 16S ribosomal RNA". It matches the Rfam family "Bacterial small subunit ribosomal RNA", at positions 524 to 776 of the family's 1533-position model. The record is from RNAcentral.
UACGGGGGGGGCAAGCGUUGUUCGGAAUUACUGGGCGUAAAGGGUUCGUAGGUGGCUUGCUCAGUCAGACGUGAAAUCCCUCAGCUUAACUGGGGAACUGCGUCUGAUACUGGCGAGCUUGAGUGCAGGAGAGGAACGCGGAAUUCCAGGUGUAGCGGUGAAAUGCGUAGAUAUCUGGAGGAAUACCGGUGGCGAAGGCGGCAUCCUGGACCGACAUUGACGCUGAGGAGCGAAAGCUAGGGGAGCAAACGGG